CCUACGGGAGGCAGCAGUGGGGAAUAUUGGACAAUGGGGGCAACCCUGAUCCAGCCAUGCCGCGUGUGUGAAGAAGGCCCUCGGGUUGUAAAGCACUUUCAGUGAGGAAGAACGCCUGGUGGUUAAUACCCAUCAGGAAAGACAUCACUCACAGAAGAAGCACCGGCUAACUCCGUGCCAGCAGCCGCGGUAAUACGGAGGGUGCGAGCGUUAAUCGGAAUUACUGGGCGUAAAGCGCGCGUAGGUGGCUUGAUAAGCCGGUUGUGAAAGCCCCGGGCUCAACCUGGGAACGGCAUCCGGAACUGUCAAGCUAGAGUGCAGGAGAGGAAGGUAGAAUUCCCGGUGUAGCGGUGAAAUGCGUAGAGAUCGGGAGGAAUACCAGUGGCGAAGGCGGCCUUCUGGACUGACACUGACACUGAGGUGCGAAAGCGUGGGUAGCAAACAGGAUUAGAUACCCGAGUAG
RNAcentral lists this ribosomal RNA (463 nucleotides) under Vreelandella stevensii. RNAcentral's name for it is "partial 16S ribosomal RNA". It matches the Rfam family "Bacterial small subunit ribosomal RNA", at positions 338 to 793 of the family's 1533-position model. Lineage: Bacteria; Pseudomonadati; Pseudomonadota; Gammaproteobacteria; Oceanospirillales; Halomonadaceae. The record is from RNAcentral.